AGAGUUUGAUCCUGGCUCAGAAUCAACGCUGGCGGCGUGCCUAACACAUGCAAGUCGAACGCGAAAGUGGGGCAAUCCAUUAGUAGAGUGGCAAACGGGUGAGUAACACGUGGGCGACCUACCUCAGAGUGGGGGAUAACCUUCCGAAAGGAGGGCUAAUACCGCAUGACAUCCCGUGUUUGGAUACACGGAGAUCAAAGCCGGGGAUCGCAAGACCUGGCGCUUGGAGAGGGGCCCGCGUCCGAUUAGCUAGUUGGUGAGGUAACGGCUCACCAAGGCUCCGAUCGGUAUCCGGCCUGAGAGGGCGGACGGACACACUGGAACUGAGACACGGUCCAGACUCCUACGGGAGGCAGCAGUGGGGAAUUGUUCGCAAUGGGCAAAAGCCUGACGACGCAACGCCGCGUGGAGGAUGAAGAAUUUCGGUUCGUAAACUCCUUUCGACCGAGAUGAACACCCCGCAAUCAAAUACAUUGUGGGACUGACAGUAUCGAGAGAAGAAGCCCCGGCUAACUCUGUGCCAGCAGCCGCGGUAAUACAGGGGGGGCAAGCGUUGUUCGGAAUUACUGGGCGUAAAGGGUUCGUAGGUGGCCAACUAAGUCAGAUGUGAAAUCCCUCAGCUUAACUGGGGAACUGCUUCUGAUACUGGUUGGCUUGAGUGCAGGAGAGGAAUGCGGAAUUCCAGGUGUAGCGGUGAAAUGCGUAGAUAUCUGGAGGAACACCGGUGGCGAAGGCGGCAUUCUGGACUGUAACUGACACUGAGGAACGAAAGCCAGGGGAGCAAACGGGAUUAGAUACCCUGGUAGUCC
Molecule: ribosomal RNA, 809 nt
Filed under: uncultured bacterium
Lineage: Bacteria
Description: bacterial SSU rRNA
Rfam family: Bacterial small subunit ribosomal RNA
Source: RNAcentral